GCGGCGGUAGCUCAGCCUGGUUAGAGCGCUCGGGGGCGGACCGGGAAGUCCCGGGUUCAGGGAGAACCGCCCAAAAAUCCCGGCCGCCGCACCA
Molecule: transfer RNA, 94 nt
Filed under: Pyrobaculum sp.
Lineage: Archaea; Thermoproteati; Thermoproteota; Thermoprotei; Thermoproteales; Thermoproteaceae
Description: tRNA-Arg
Source: RNAcentral